UUCUGUUUGGGUGGGGCAUCGGAGGAGCUCGCUGUGGGGGUCCUGAUGACUGCCCCCCGCAUCAUUGCAGUAGAGACGACGCGGUCAUCCAUGGAUUCUGCUGUGGUUGUGGCCGAUAUUCCGAUCGCGUACCCAUUCGCUGUCCGGGUCACUUGCAGUGUCCGUUGAACCCAGAACCUCUGUGUUCGGACUACGACUUCAUGAUGGACUGUUGUUGCUAAAAUACUGCACCGACAGUUUUACAAAAAAAACUAAUUUGGGUUUCAAUUUUGAAGAAAAAAAAAUGAAAUGUAAGAAAUAUAAGGACGACUGAUUUUAAUUGCAGAUGUAAAUUUCCAUAUUAGACCUGCAUCCGAAAAUGACUUAUGUAUUUGGAGACAAUAAAACAUGGCAAAUUUAUCAAUUUUCAUGAA
Non-coding RNA from Zootermopsis nevadensis, 413 nucleotides. The record is from RefSeq and is a predicted model, not a curated record. Lineage: Eukaryota; Metazoa; Arthropoda; Insecta; Blattodea; Termopsidae.